UACGAAGGGGCUAGCGUUGCUCGGAUUGACUGGGCGUAAAGGGCGCGUAGGCGGUUCGUACAGUCAGACGUGAAAUUCCUGGGCUCAACCUGGGGGCUGCGUUUGAUACGUGCGGACUUGAGUGCGGAAGAGGGUCGUGGAAUUCCCAGUGUAGAGGUGAAAUUCGUAGAUAUUGGGAAGAACACCGGUGGCGAAGGCGGCGACCUGGUCCGAUACUGACGCUGAGCGCGAAGCGUGG
This 238-nucleotide ribosomal RNA is filed under the name uncultured bacterium. RNAcentral describes it as "partial 16S ribosomal RNA". It matches the Rfam family "Bacterial small subunit ribosomal RNA", at positions 524 to 764 of the family's 1533-position model. The record is from RNAcentral.